UGAGGAAUAUUGGGUCAAUGGACGAGAGUCUGAACCAGCCAAGUAGCGUGUAGGAUGACGGCCCUCCGGGUUGUAAACUGCUUUUAGUUGGGAAUAAAGUUCGGGACGUGUCCCGAUUUGUAUGUACCAUCAGAAAAAGGACCGGCUAAUUCCGUGCCAGCAGCCGCGGUAAUACGGAAGGUCCGGGCGUUAUCCGGAUUUAUUGGGUUUAAAGGGAGCGCAGGCGGGCUUUUAAGUCAGUUGUGAAAUACGGCGGCUCAACCGUCGGACUGCAGUUGAAACUGGAAGUCUUGAGUUCACACAGGGAUGCCGGAAUUCAUGGUGUAGCGGUGAAAUGCUCAGAUAUCAUGAAGAACUCCGAUCGCGAAGGCAGGCAUCCGGGGUGUUACUGACGCUGAGGCUCGAAAGUGCGGGUAUCAAACAGGAUUAGAUACCCUGGUAGU
This 443-nucleotide ribosomal RNA is filed under the name uncultured Prevotellaceae bacterium. RNAcentral describes it as "bacterial SSU rRNA". It matches the Rfam family "Bacterial small subunit ribosomal RNA", at positions 355 to 794 of the family's 1533-position model. The record is from RNAcentral. Lineage: Bacteria; Pseudomonadati; Bacteroidota; Bacteroidia; Bacteroidales; Prevotellaceae.